AAAAAGAAGAACUUUUGUGCCAUUCAAGUAAGUGUCUCCUACUCUAGUGCUUUUGAUUGGAGAAUAAUUUGCAUUGUGGUAUUGUGGAUUGCUCUAUGCUUUUCUUGUGAGACGUUUAAGGGGUUUGUCAAUUGUUUAUAUGGGAAUUAGUGUUUGGGCUGUUGAUUGUGUUAAUCAGUAAGAUUUGGGGGGGUGACACCAAAAGGAAAUUAUACUCAAGUUCUGGAAAACCUAUUUGGGGGUUUAGUUUGUUCUUGUUUUGAAAGACACUAUGGGUCCUAAGAGAAAUCCCACUAGAGGUACCUCCUCAAAGAAAGCCUCCUCAUCCCGCACUCAACCACCACCAACACCACUUGCCCCAGCUGAUUAUGACACGAAUUUAUUUGUCAAUAAGGACGCAGCUGAUUUGUUUAAAAAGAUUCAUAAGAGAUCGGUGGUAAGGGAAAGGAGGUUUGAGCUUAAUGAGGCCACUGUUGUACAAAACCCUGCCUAUGAUCUCAUCAAAGCUGAAAUAGUGCGACGUAACUGGGGUGUCUUUUGUGACUCGACCUAUGUGGGGUCAGCCAACUGUUCUCAGAUGUAUGAAUUCUUCGCCAACUUCUCAUAUCUAGAUGCAGAACAGAACAAUUUUAUCAGGGGUAAAUUGGUGCCUACAACAUCUUAUGCAUUUAACCAAUUAAUAGGCCUCCCCUCAUUGUCUGCACAAGAGGAUGAACAUUGGCAGUUGGCCCAUUUUGAGGAGCCAGACUAUGAUGCUGUGGUUGCAGUUUUGAGUGUGGAAGGUGCACGCUUCAACUAUCAUAACGGAAAGCCCAAAGAGUUGUACAGGUGGCAGCUAAAUCCAAUUGCGAAGGCGUGGGUUUAUUUUGUGAGUUAACGUUUACUGCCGACCUCUCAUCUGUCUUCUAUUGAUAGAGAGCGCUUUUGUUGGUGUAUGCUAUCAUGACCCAAAUGAAAGUUGAUGUGGGCCGCAUUAUUCGCUAUAGCAUUCGUAACAUCAGCAAAUUCAAUACUACAGCUGGUGUCGCCCAUGGUACCUUCCUCUCGAAUCUAUGCAACACUUAUGAGGUACCAGUCUACCCAAGCGAUCUAGUCCGGAGGGCAAUGGGGGCAAUCAAUCAGACUAUGUUUACGGCAUUCCUUUCAACCUCUCUUACGCCGCCUGCCUCUAGCCAGCAAAAUAAGCGCAGCCGGGCUGAUGACACAGUGGACAUCGAUCAAGCUGAGGAGGAGGAAGCAGAUGAACCAGGUCCCAGUAACGCACCUUCGAAUUUGGCAAUUGGUGGACCUAUUGAUGAGCACACGCAGCGCACGCAUGCUCGAUUGGAUUACCUUAUUCAGCAAAAUCAAUACUUAAUCCAAUCGCAUCAGGCGCAAAAUCAGCACUAUAAUGACUUCAUGGUGCAACAAAAUGAGUAUGGGCGGGCUCACAUUGAGGAGUUGAAUACUUUAGUCACGAGGUGGACUAUGAGCUCUGCUGAUGAGAAUUACUUCACUCCAUCGCCACAGUACACUUCAUACCAGUGGCCACCUCCACCACCUCCUCCGCCAUACUGAUGUGGCGUCAGGUAAGUUAUCUUCCCUUGUUCUUUUCUUUAUCACAUUGAGGACAAUGUGCAUCUUAAGUUUGGGGGGGAGCUUAUUUUGUUUUAUUUUUGUUUUCUGCGUUGUUUAGUUUAGUUUUUUUUAGUCUGUUGUGUUGUUUAGUGUAAAUGUUUAGCCAUCAUUCUUGUCUGUUGUUGCUUUGUCUUUGCUCGUGAAAAGGAAAUUGAAUUCAACUGUGUGCUUGGUUCAAUUGUUUUAGAGUUUAAUUUAAAAGGUUUGUGGGAAAUUUUUAAUAUGUUUUGAAAAGGCAACAUUUUGGAUUUUAUUAUAUGUGUUUGACUAGGGUUGGUGGAAUGACAAUUUGAAUUUGAUAGAACUUGCAUUAGUUGGCCUUUGAGGCGAAAUCCUUGAUGACAUGUGUUUAGAAAAGUGAUUUAGGCAAUUUUUUUUUUUUUUUAGAAGAAAAUUGAAAUUGCAUUAGUUCAUAACAGGGAUUCAAGUGAUUCAAUUAAACAUCCUAAACAGAAAAUUAGUUCAUAGUCAUAGUGCUAAUCACAACAAAAAUUAAAGAUAACAUCAGGAAGAGAAGAAAAACAUGUAAAAAUACUCUAAGCUUGAGCCUUCAAAACCAGAACUUCUCCCUCGAAUAAACAAGUAAUAAUAGUGGAAAUAUAUUAUCGUUCCGUCAGGGAAUUGAUCUAAUAAUUACCAAUAGCAAACUUUUAUUUCUAUUUGACUAACGAGAUUUUAAUGGCAAUUAACAAUGAACAAUAAACUAAGAAAGCACAAUUUAAUUAACGAAAUUUAAUAUAAGCGAAAGAUUAGAGUAUUCUAAUUUCAUCAACCUUCAAUUCUAUUCAAUCAAUAAUACAACUAAUAUGUUUCUUUGAUCUAUGGUUAUAGCAAGUUUACUAAUGACAAUUCUAUUCUCUCUCAAGAUAUAAAAUAUUCAGUUUACCUGUGAAUUUUCUACAUGUCUGUGAUAAAUUCUACACAUAAACCGCAUUAAGAACAAAAACCUAAUUGCUACACAAACCAAUUUGAUACUUUCGUUCUAAAUUGAAAUCUAUGUCUAUUGUCUAAAGCUAUUCCAAUUCUCACUUUUCAGAUAUUGAAUUAAAACCAAUAAUCAUGCAACAGAUGGCCAAUCAAUUACAAGCAUUAAACAUAAGAACAAUAGAUAACCAUAAAUUCAAAGAUUCAUAGAAAUUGCAUUAAAGACGAAUAGAAUAUCCAGUGACUACAUUAAAAUACUCUAAAUACGAAUUUAGUUCAUAAUAUUAAACUUCAUCAUCCAAUCUAAAAUUCAAAAACAUAAAAAUAAACACAAACGAAAUAAACGCGGAUUCUUCUCUGUUUCUUUCUCUUUGCCGUCAGAAUGCCUCCCUCUUAUUUUCCUUUUAGAUCUUCUUUUUAUAAAAAUCCAAAAACCUACGAAUUUCCAUGAAAAUUUCCAAAAAUACCCUCGUGCCGAUAUAUCGCCCAAGACAGGCGAUAUAUCGCCUGACGAAUGUUCUCGAUAAAAACGCAAGUUUCUGAUGUCGUUUCUGCAAAGCCAAAACUUAGAAUUCCUCCUUAUGCCGAUAUAUCGCCUGUACCAUAUUUCCACAUAUUGGCCAAUUUUCGGCUACUAAAACCAACAUUUAUCCAAAUUCUCGAACAAAUCAGAAUAAUAACGACAAACUGCACAAGUUCACCAAACAGAUUAAAUAGAAACUUUAUGUUGAGAAAAACAACCAAAUCAAUCUGAAAAUGUUAUCAAUAAGCGUAUAUUUUGUACGCUUAUCAUCCGUACAUACAUUUUCUCCCCUUUUCGCAAUAUUAAAACCUAAGGCUCAAAUUUUAAAGAGGCGGGCCGCAGCUCUACAUACACUAUGCCGUGGCCCGUGUCAUAAUUUCUGGGCAAAAGAUCCUCUCCAUGCCGCGGCCCUCUGAAGCCAUGUCGCGGCCCGCAUCGACGAGUUCUGGGAAAAAUGCCCAUCUAUGUCGCGGCUCUCUCUAGCCAUGUCGCGGCCCGAGGAUUUCCUUAAAAACAUUGCUUCUGUUUCCCACCUAGCCGCGGCUCCACUUUGCUCAUGCCAUGGCUCUUAAGGGAUUUCUCAAUUCUUCAAGUUUUCAUCCCAAAAUUUCACCAACACUUCCAAAUUGUGUUGAGAACCAUUCUUUAUCAAAAUAUGAUGAAAAACUUGGUUAUUUCUGCCCUUUCUUUGACAUUUUCUUCUAUGUGCUCAAUUCUUCCUGAUAUUCACAAAGACAGACAAACAAAGCAUAAACCCGCACUAAAUGAAAUAAAAACAAAAUAAAAGACUACUAAAAACAUCACCUAAACAUGACAAAACUAGACUCAACAAGAUUCUAUCCUAUUUUCCUUACCAAAGUUACCGGGAUAUGUGGACAGUGUUAGGACUUUGGAACACUCCUAAUAAUCAUUAUGAAAGAGAGUGAGUCUAAUGAAGAAAAAGAGAUGAAAAGGAAUGGGAAGACUAAACCAUUGAAAAACAUACUUACCAAAACUUAUGUGCUCAAGAACUUAGAUUUCCUAACCAAAAUAAAGAUUAAGGUUAGAGGCUGAGUAGAAGAUUAUGAGAACUUAAAAGAACAAAUACAGAAUUGAACUAGAGUUUUGGGUUACCUUGAAGACUUGUAAGACCAAUCUACUCCUCAAACCGAAAUACUCUAAAACCUUACUUCCCAAAGUGUUUGAUAAGCUUAUGAUGAUCAAGCUUAUGAUUCCCAAACCCAUGUGUUUAUACUCUCACACUCACUUAGCACUUGCAGCCUCUGAACUUAGAGCAAAAGAUGAAUAAUGGCUGGGUACUAGGUCCUAUUUAUAGAGUUUAGGAAUGAAAUGAUCUUGAUUUUACUUGAAUAAAAAUAAUAGCUUUUUAGGUGAAAAAUAUUUGAAUAAUCGUUCAGCAGAGGCUGAAGACUCGUUCAAAAAGAUACUGGACUUAUCAAGAGGUUGAAUGGCUGAAUGGAAAAUGAAUUCAAAACAUUUCAAAAUACACUGAAGGAGGCGAUAUAUCGCCCCUUGUAGGCGAUAUAUCGCCUGAGCCAGUAUGCCCGAGGCUGUCGUGCAUCGUCUCGUGUUUUCCGUAUCUACGUGCUCCGAUAUAUCGCCCCCUAUAGCUGCGAUAUAUCGGCACACGCUGAUUAAUUAAACACGAAAUUACAUAUUUUUAGCUAAGUUUGAAUGGAGUAAACAGCCUUGACUAAGCCCUCAACGUAUUCAAAGCUGCUGACUGACCUUAUAGCAUUCAAACUUUACUCCUUAUUAAAUUUAAUCCUCAAAAUACUUAAUUCUUAAUCAUCCAUUCAUAACAUGUGCUUAAAAUCCUAUUGGUCCUCAUCUAAACCUUAUAGUAUAAUAAAUAUUAUCCUUAAUAUCAGUCAUAUAAUCAAACCUUAGGUUAACAUUAAUAUUAUUAAACUAUAGGUUAAACUUAGAAAAUCUAUAAGUACUACUAUGAGUGUCCAAAUAAUUCCCGGUCUGAACCAAAAAUCCACAGUUACAAAGAUAAUACUAUACAUACUAUAAUACUACUAAAUAAUUAGCUAAGUAAAGUUCUUGGACUCUACAAAAACCAAUCCUUGAACUAAAACUUAGCCUCUAAGACAUCAAUCCUCACUAAUCCGGGUAGUAGGAAUGAUCCCGAGGUCUAAAACCAUGUUCUCGGUGCUAAAUACGCAAACGGGCUCAAAAGCCUGCCUGAGCCGCGGCCCUGGAACCUUGAGCCGCGGCCCCCAACCUACUCUGAAGCAAGGGUCGCGGCGCCCAGCAGGAACAAAUUCCUGCACCAGCUUCAUCGAGCAAGGGCCGCGGCGCCCAAGAACAAGGCCGCGGCCCAACUUUGGGGCAGCCAUUUUCCUUCUUUUUUAACCUUUUAAAAUCUUCCAAAAACAUGUCUAAACAUUCCCAAAUCAUCAAAUCAAAGUUCCCAAACUCCCCAAUGGUCCAAGACCACCAAAACCUGAGCCUCAAACGAACUAAAAACUCAACGAUUCACAAAAUCCAAUUCAAGCUUAAAAACUUUUAAAAACUUAAAAUUUAAACUUGAAUUACCUGCGAUUGAGUUAUUUCCAACUAAAUCCUCCGGUUAAUAAGCUUCUAAUUCUCCUUAGGAUUGCUAUGCCUUGAUCCUCGCUUGAUUCCAAGUCCUAGAACUCAAGUUAUCUUUGAAAACGCGAUCGGGAGACGAAAAGGGAACUUUUAGGGAGAGAGAACGUACAGAAUGUUCUUUUUAUUUUCUUAAAAGGUUACUUCAAGCUUAAGUAGCUUCCAAUAAAACCUAAUGCUCGGGGUCCCGAAAACACCCCCGGGGACAUUAUAGUCAAAACUUCCAGAAUUUCCUCCUGAUCUUACUAACUCUCAAUUUAUCACCAAUUAUUAAUUCCCAUUACCCAAUAACCCGGUAAUGCUCUAAAUACCCCUUGACUUACUCCAAGUCCAGCUUAAAUCCCGUUGUGACUUUCCCACUAGCUUACCUCCUAGGACCGUCUUGUACUGGGUAACCCUGGCAUAACCAAAUAAUAACAAAGUACCACGCCCAUUUCACAUAUAUGCCAAAAAUGCCCGAAAUGGCCAAAAUAUGAAAAUCGUCCAAUUAAUCACAAAUGGGUUCACAUGCAUAUUUAAUACACCUAAACAUGCAUAUUAUCAUUAAAUAGCAUAAUAAAUCAAUUAUGGCCCUCCCGGCCUCCUAAUCAAGGUCCUAAACGAUAUUAGGAAACUUGGGGCAUUACAACAAGAAAGAAAGCAUAGCUUAAGUAUGUAUUGAGAGGGGUCCUACCCUCCGAGCUAAAGGAGGCUCUGGGUCCGGAUCCGCCUUGGGACUGGACUCUUCUACGUACUGCCUAAGACAUGGAGCUACUACACCUCCAGGAGGGAGGGUCACGAUCUAAGAUUGGUCUCAUACUCCUCAAAAAAGGCCGACCUAAAGGCCAGGGUGUUAUCUACUACUACGGUCCCCCUAGGGCGGCUCAUGUCAUAACACAGUACGAGCUGGUCAACGCAUUGGAGUAGGGUGGUAUCGCGGUCUGGGUCGUUUUGGUGGCGAUGAACGGGUUGGCUGGGGUUAAACCUAGCAAGCCAUAGGUCUGCAGUGGCCCUGUCUAUGUCCCUAAAUAAAUAAGGGUUACCUUGGCCGGAGGGGCUGGCUGCUGCCCCGGACUGGGUCCUCUCUGCAUUGGCUUCCUGGGCGGCCUCCAGAGCCCGCUUCCGGCGCACGAGGGGCACCUCGUCCUCCUCGUCCUCAUCCUCAUCUUUGGCCUCCUCCUCGGGGAUGGGCGCCAUCUCGCGAGCAGCGGGGAUGGUCCGCAGUCUCCUCAAGGCUAGAGUUUGGUCCGGGGAAAUUAACUUGCACGCCAGCAUCGUCUCGUCAGACAUGAGCUGGCGGUAAUCCUUUUCACUUGGGGGGAGCCCCGCCAAGGUUUCGUAUUGACCCCCAAGGGUCACUGACUUAGUCGUCCUCGCGAAAAUAGCUGCAUGAUAGUUUCUAAGUCAGGAACGAAUAAGAAGAAGCUAAUCAGCAACCAAAUUACGAGCUGAAGAUAGAAGGAACUUACAAGGACGGUUGAAGUAAUGGUAUUCGCAGUUGCGAAACCCCUUUGACAUGAAGAAUUGAUCCUUAAAGUCAUUGGGGUGGUUGGGCAGCUCGAUGACCGCAGCUGAAUUGGGAAAACGGGUCAGGUAGUAGAACCCGUCACCUUGCCCUCGUUGCUCCGGGCUGGUUUUGAGGCAAAAGAAGUAAAGGAUGUCCGCCGGCGUGGGGACCUCCCAUUCCUGCUUCAGGAAUAAAUACUUCAACCCCGUUAACAGACGGUAGGAGUUAGGGGGGAGCUGGAAGGGAGCCAGCUUCACGUAAUUUAAAAAAUCCGCGAAGUACUGGUCCAGCGGAAGGAAGGCCCCAGCCUUGAGAUGCUCAUCGCUCCAGGCGGCUUACUCCUCGUCAAGCUGCGCGCAGCUCCGCUCGUCCUCAACGAGAGGUCGGGCGUCCAGGGCGCCGCUCCCUAUCUCAAUAUUAUGGGAAAGCAUAAUUUUAUUAACUUUCCCUUGGGUGGUGACCUUCGAGGCGAUCCUCUCGGCCUCAAAAAGGCGUCGGGCCCCACCUCGACCUCCUUCUCCACGGUGGGACCAAAGUUGGGGAUCAGGGAGUCUGUGGCCACCUCUUUCCCCUUACUGGUUUGCUGGGAAGACGAGCUGCCAGCACUUUUCUUGGGUGCACUCUUCUUGGGUCCCAUCUAGUCGCCUAACGAACAAAGAAGAAAAUUUAGAAAGGGCGACCUAAGCAUAAGAAAGAAUCUAGCGCGAAGGAUUUCCUUUACACGGGCUGAGGUAAUCUCAGCCUGCGGCGAGUGAGACUACAUGGUUCUAUGAACACGCGCCUGUGCUCCCAAUGGGUCCCCGAUUACUCGGAAUCCAUGUGUUAGGAGGGUCAAAAUAAAGGUUUGCCUUGGAAGGAAAGUUUUGAUAGGCAAAACUGCCUGUGAAGCGUGUCCCCUAAGCUACCUGGUUUUUGCACCCUAAAAACUGGUUGUUCCAAACAGGCAUAAAAAAAAAAAUUUACCCAGAAAAUCACCCCAUAGUUGUAUCCUAUGAGUCAUGCUUCUAAGCACUUUUUCUUACGGUCGAUACCCCUAGGAUAAAAACCCUACGCAUAAAAUUUCAGCAAAAGACAAGCAACCUACUACAUGCGGCUAAAGAGAAAGUUUACCUAAGCAAGAGAAAGGGAAAACAUUUGAAGCAUGCAACGAAUGGAGGACUUACAUAAAUUCUUUGCUGUAUAAAGACCGAAAGGAGCGUCUGGGUUGAAGUCCUGUUGGAAUUGCUGGAACCGGAGUCACGAAAGAGCCCUCGUAUCUGAACCUCUGGAACAUUGGGAAUAAUGACCGGAAGAAAGAAAGGGUUUUGAGACUGAGAAGAAAGAAGAAGAUGAGAAAAUUUUCAAAUAAAAAGGUGGCUCAUGCGAAGGGUGGCCAACCUUAUAUAUACGUAAAAGGCCAAAGGAUGAGGGCCAUUCGAUUGUCUUGAUGUAGGAUACGAGGAUCACUACUCGAAAGACGAAACGACGGCCGAAGAUAGGUUAGGCCAUUUAAUGCGGUUCUCCAAAGACGGACCGUCGCCAACCACGAUGCUCCACGUGUCCGAUACCAGCGUAAUGGGCGGAAUAUGAAGAGUCCACAAAGAAGCUUAAAAGCCCCCAUUGUGGCCCCAGGUCGUGUGCCACGAGCAGGGGCUUGGGGGGCAAAUGUACGCCCUAAAUAUCCACAGGUUAUUAGCGAGCUGGAAUAUGGCAUAAUUCUAUCAGCCAUGUGGAAGCCACCUACCUGGAGCUGCUGUUACAAAUCUCUAUCUCUUUAGCUCGAGAUAACCAAAGGUUCAUUGAGUACUAAGGCAUCGGGUCAGCAGUGUGGACACCACGAGCUGAAGCUACAUCAAGUUCAAGGUACGAGCUUGAGUUGACACCUCUGACCUUUUGUUUAAAGUCAACCACGCAAUGUAAACGUGCAUAUAUCAGACAUCACGUGUCUACUCCAUCCCUGAAUUCUCGGACACGCAGCAUAAACGUGCGUGUUCAGGCACCCAUGACUGGGUUGGGCCAUGCGGCCCAUUAUCCCCCUUACCUAUUGAUUAGACCACACUUCAUUGUCAGGUUUUAGGAAUUAAUCAUGAAUGUCACAGAAGUGACAUGAUGGGUAAGAUGGUCACGGGAUGACCUCCAUUGCCAACACCCAGGUGCCUUCUCCCUAUAAAUAUGGAGACCUUGGGAGUUGCAAAGGGUUAGCCUCUAAUUUAUAAAGAAAUACCCUGUAAAGAAUAUCAGAGAUAUAUCAAUAAUAUUGGCUAGUGGACUAGAAUGAUUUUAACCUUUGAACCACCUAAAAAACUAUUCGAGCUAUAAUUUUCCUUUGAGAUCAUUCAUCUAUUACGGUUCAUUAUUUAGCACUUGUUAUCCCCAUUUCUUGCAUGGGCUCGGUGCCUUCGUCUUGGCCCACUGUUAGGGGGCCAGCUCAGCACGUGGGCCCGGCCCAAGGUCUCUUGGUAUGGAGAGUGCCCAAGAGGAAGGGUAUGGAUCGGGGACUCAAGACUGGGCCCAUUGGAGGGGUCCGGGAUGUCCCUCCGGGUCCGUCCUCAGCGAGGAUAGUCCGGGCGGCGUGCAGAGCAUUCCAACCACUGCGGCCUACGCGUCCCUGUCCCGGACCACUGACGCGGUCCGGGCCGAUGGUAAACGAAGCGGGACAAAGGUAAAUGGACCCGGAUCAUCUCACCCCUGGUUGAAGGGGCCAGGACUCCAGGACCCUAACGCCGCCUCGCUCCACGUGGGCGUUGUCCCCCACUUUUCACCUACAGAAAAGGUCAUCUCGGGAUUGCACGCCAAUGUGUCAGGUCUGCGCAGCCAAGUACUCUAACUGGUCUUGUCUCCUGAAUCUGCCUCGUGACUCGAAGUGGCCAGGCCAAAAGCGUCGUUUUGUCGAGCGAGAUAUAGCUCUAAGGUCAACCUGUUGGGCCUUAGCUGGUUUGGAUUUAUGUAUUUUGUACCUUUUUGUAUUGGGCCUCCACUAGAAAGGCCCCUUGUAUCCAUUUCUCCGAUGGACCCGGAUCGGACCUGGUCCAGACCCGAUAUUCCCAUCAGCUUAUAAAUAUAAGCUACAGAGCACUGUAAACAGGGUCUCCUUUCAGAAAAAAGAGAGGAACUCUGUCAAAAUAUAAAACUCCAUUGUAAAAGCUUCUUCAAGCUCUAAUAACAUAGACUCGUGGACUAAGGCUAGUUAACACCCCAACCACGUAAAAAUCCCGUGUUGAUUUUCUGCUUUCAUUAUUAUCAUCAAUAAACAUUACUUAUCGAUAGAGUUGCCGAAAAUCUCGGUUAACAGCACUAAUCCCUCUCCUUAUUCAUAUAAUUAUCUGUUGCCGAAAAACUGCGCCAACAUCUUGAGAUGAGUAACUUUCUGCCAUAAGAGGGGUAACCAGUUACCUAAGAGGGGUGGUGAGUUAAUUAUAUUAAAUAUGAAAAGAAACAUCAAAUUUGAAGGAAAAAAAUAGAAGAACACUUCAUUAAAAAAGAAAAAAGAAGUAACUAUGAUUUUAGUAACAUAAGUAACUAGUUACCAUAAAGAAACCAUAAAUAUACACACACCAGAACGUGAAAGUAACAAAUCACCCUCAUAAAUAUACACACAAAGAAUGUGAGGUAACCAGUUACCCAUUCAUGUUUUCAUAUUUUUAUUAGUUUUCUUUCCAAAUUUUGGUAUUAUUAUAAGUGUUACAGUAAAAAGAAAAUGUUGAAAAAAUUGAUUAGAAUUUUCUUUAUAUAUCGUGGAAAAAACUAUAAAAAAAAAUUACAAUAAUAAAAUAUAAUAAAUAAAAAAAUAGUAGAAUAAUUAUGUAAUGCUAAAAUACAUGUAUGAAAAAAAAGAAAAAAAAAGAAAUAGAAUGAGAAAAGAAUAAGUACAAAAAUGAAAAAAAAAAUAUGAAAAAAAAAACAAAAGAAAUGAUGAAUGAAAAAAAUAGAUGAAUAAAUAAGAAUGAAAAGAAGAAGAAAAAGAAAAAUAAUUGAAAAAUGAAUAGAAAAAAAAUAUGAAUGAAAAAAUUGGUAGAAAAAAAAGAAAAAAAAAUGGAAGAAGAAAAAAAAGUUCAUAUGUGUGAAAAAAGAAAAAAAAUGGAAAGAGAAAAUAAUAAAUACAAAAAUAAAGAAAAAAUAUGAAGAAAAAAAACAAUACAAUACAAAUGAAAGAAAAAAAAUAGAUAAAUGAAAAAAAAAAAGAAUAAUGAAAAAAUUGAAAGAAAAAAAGAUGAAGGAAAAAAUUGGUAGAAAAAAAAAAAAGGGAAAAAACAAGAAAAAAUAAUAAAAAAUGAUGGAAAAAAAUAAAAAUAAAAUAAAAUUAUCUUCAAAAUCAAAGAAAACAUAACUAUGAUAAAAAAAUGUGACAUUUUCAUAUUUUAGUUAGCUAUUAAUUGUAUUUUCAUACUUUAACUUUUUCUUUAAUAAAUUUCUCAUACAGAUUCAGAAAUGUAUAACUCCUGUAUAAAAGUCAUAUUUUUUAAAAAUUCCUAAAAGUUUCUCUUUAAAAAAAAGAAAUCCAAUGGGCUGGGCUAGUUGGGGCUCUUGGGUUGGGCCAAACUCUCUAAAUUAGGGCUUCUGAGAUUUCUUAGGGUUUAUCGAAAGCACCUCUAGAAAAGGUGGAGUCAUUGCUCACAGCGGCAGUUUCAUCUGGAUCCGAAGAAGGUAGAGUCGAGCAGUAUUAAUUCUAUGUGCAUGGAUCAAGGAAUCUAUCCUUAGGCGAUAGUAACGCCGAAGUACAUACAUCCAAUUCUGUAUGUAUUUUCCACCUUUAGCUCCGAUUUUCCAUGUCUUUCUUUACCAGGAAUUGUUCGGUGACAAGGUUGAUACAGUUUUGAUUUUGAUUAUGAUUUUCUAGGGUUAGGGUUUAUGAUGUUUGGAGUGAUGAAAAAAAUCAUUCGGAUUCCCAAUGAUCAAUUUUCUAUUAUGAUAUUCCAACCAGCUACUUCUGACCUUUCAUCAUAACCAUUCUUAAUCUCAUUUUUUAAUAUAUAUAUAUGAUUUUAUUUUACAUAAGAAAAAAUAGAAGAAAAGGCCAGUGAUGUAUCAAAAUAUUUGCUACUCUUGAUGGGUUUUCACCUAUUUGAUGAUGGUUUUCCACCAAGAUCUCUGAGGCCUUUUUUUUUUAGUUCUAACAUUGUUUAUGGUGAAGUUUUUCUGUUAAGUUUUUAAACUCAGUUUAUAGAGAAUUUAGAGUGGAAAUGAAUUGUAAUGCAAAAUUGAUGAAUUGACUUAAUUUAUUGAUUGAAUCGUACUAUUCAACUUUAUAUUUAUUAAAUUAGGUUUUGUAAUGGAUUAUUAGGGUUUAUCAUGUGAUGAAAUUUGGAAUAAUCUUAGGACACCUUCCUACACAGUUUGCCAAAGCUGUGGAUGAGAACAAAAAUCCAUUCUGAUGAUAUGUCUGAAAUUAUUAUUGUUUAUGUUUUGAUUCAUGAACUGUAUUUACUGUUAAUGUUGAAAAUGAUUUUAAGUUUCAAAUGAUGAUUAUGGAUGUCAUUUUCUCACGACGGUCGUCUGAGAUUUUUCAACAUUAUAUUUUUCAAUUUUAUAUUUUGAAGGUAUAUGUUUUUCGUUUCUGUAGAGGCAUAUCAUGUGAUGAAAUUUGGAAUAAUCUUAGGACACCUUCCUACACAGUUUGCCAAAGCUGUGGAUGAGAACAAAAAUCCAUUCUGAUGAUGAUGUGUCUGAAAUUAUUAUUGCAAAUUGUUAUGUUUUGAUUCAUGAACUGUGUUUACUGUUAAUGUUGAAAAUGAUUUGAAGUAUGAUACUGAAGUUUCAAAUGAUGAUUAUGGAUGUCAUUUUCUCACGACGGUCGUCUGAGAUUUUUCAGUGAUGAUAAACAUCCUAUUGUUCUGAUGAGCCUUCAACCCUCAUUCAUUGUACAUAGACCACACCAGAGUUAGGAAUAGGAGAUAAUGGAGAGCAUUGUAGUUUUGUAUUGGCAAUUCCGCCUAGACUGUGUCCUAUCAUGCUUGAAGAAUAUCAGCUUUGAUUGUUUUCUUUAUAUAAAUUAAUAAUCCUUUGAUCUCCUACCGUGCUAUGAAGAUACUCGUGAAGAACGAUCAUAUGACACAAAUAUAGCAAAUAUCAUUUCGAGGGAUGAGUAUUGUGUGACAGUUAGAAUCCCGCAAUGGUUCAAGAAGUUGCAAUGAUGCAUUUUAUUUUUGGAGUAUAUUUGCUGAUCAAGGAAUUAGAAUGGUGAAAAGGUAUACUUAACAAUGAGUUAUGCGGGUCUCACAUGAAAGGAAAUAGGUUGGCAUUGUUAGGACGAAGGGAUGGGCGUAAAAAGCUAGUAUCGAACUCGUCCGAUUGUAUGGCAGAUUUAGAUGGGUUCAAGUUUCGGGUAUUGUUGGCUGGUGUUAUCGGGUUUUGGGAAUCUUGGGCCUACAGUGGGCCUUGGGGCGAAAUGUAAAAAAUAUCAUCUUUUAAAUAUAAUUUCACCACUUUUUUA
Humulus lupulus (European hop) is the source of this 13557-nucleotide long non-coding RNA. RefSeq lists it as uncharacterized. The transcript has 2 exons. The record is from RefSeq and is a predicted model, not a curated record. NCBI's taxonomy places the organism in Eukaryota, Viridiplantae, Streptophyta, Magnoliopsida, Rosales, Cannabaceae.